CUCUUAAUGGAUUCUCUUGAAAAUAUAAAACCAAAUAAACAUAAGUCUUAUAUGGUUUUAUAUUUUCAAGAGAAUCCAUUAAGAG
This 85-nucleotide microRNA precursor is filed under the name Podarcis lilfordi (Lilford's wall lizard). The record is from RNAcentral. Lineage: Eukaryota; Metazoa; Chordata; Lepidosauria; Squamata; Lacertidae.